GGUCAAGCUACAAAGGGCUUACGGUGAAUACCUUGGCACACAGAGGCGACGAAGGACGUAGCAAUCGACGAAACGCUUCGGGGAGCUGACAGCAAGCUUUGAUCCGAAGAUCUCCGAAUGGGGCAACCCCCUGGACUGCCACCUGAAUCUAUAGGGUGGUCAGAGCAAACCUGGUGAACUGAAACAUCUUAGUAACCAGAGGAAGAGAAAGAAAUUCGAUUCCCUUAGUAGCGGCGAGCGAAGCGGGAACAGCCUAAACCAACGGAUUUAUCUGUUGGGGUUGUGGGACAGCAACACGGAAUUGAGCGGCUAGACGAAGUAGUGAGAAGCUACACCAGAGACGGUGAAAGUCCGGUAGUCGAAAGUUUAACAAUACAAGCUGAAUCCCAAGUAGCACGGCAGAAACGCCGUGUGAAUCCACGAGAACCAUCUCGUAAGGCUAAAUACUCCUGUGUGACCGAUAGUGAACUAGUACCGCGAGGGAACGGUGAAAAGAACCCCGGAAGGGGAGUGAAAUAGAACAUGAAACCGUAAGCCUACAAGCAGUGGGAGGGCGAUUUAACGCCUGACCGCGUGCCUGUUGAAGAAUGAGCCGGCGACUUGCAGGCAGUGGCAGACUAAGGCGAAAAUGCCGAAAUCAAAGCGAAAGCGAGUCUGAAUAGGGCGAAAUUAAGUCACUGUUUGCAGACCCGAACCCGGGUGAUCUAACCAUGUCCAGGAUGAAGCUUGGGUAACACCAAGUGGAGGUCCGAACCGACUGAUGUUGAAAAAUCAGCGGAUGAGGUGUGGUUAGGGGUGAAAUGCCAAUCGAACCCGGAGUUAGCUGGUUCUCCCCGAAAUGUAUUGAGGUACAGCGGUUGUGAUUAUAGGUUGGGGGUAAAGCACUGAUUCGGUGCGGGCUGGGAGACCGGUACCAAAUCGAGUCAAACUCAGAAUACCAACUGCACACACAGCCAGUGAGACAGUGAGGGAUAAGCUUCAUUGUCGAAAGGGAAACAGCCCAGACCAUCCGCUAAGGUCCCCAAAUUGUCACUCAGUGAUAAAGGAGGUGGAAUUGCAAAGACAACCAGGAGGUUUGCCUAGAAGCAGCCAUCCUUGAAAGAGUGCGUAAUAGCUCACUGGUCAAGCGAUUCUGCGCCGAAAAUGAACGGGGCUAAGUGACAUACCGAAGCGAUGGAAAUGGUUAAAUUACUACCAUUUGGUAGGGGAGCGUUCUGUUGUAGUGUGAAGCAUCAGCGUGAGCAGAUGUGGACGAAGCAGAAGUGAGAAUGUCGGCUUGAGUAGCGCAAACAUUGGUGAGAAUCCAAUGCCCUGAAAUCCCAAGGGUUCCUCCGGAAGGCUCGUCCGCGGAGGGUGAGUCGGGACCUAAGGCGAGGUCGAAAGACGUAGUCGAUGGACGAUCGGUUAAAAUUCCGAUACCGAUUUGAAGUAGUGCAGAGGGACGGAGAAGGCUAGCACAGCCGCACGUUGGUUAGCGGUUCAAGUGUCCGAGGCGUUGAGGAGUGGCGAAACCAUUCCGAGCUGAGGCAUGAGUACGAGCGUCUACGGACGCGAAGUGUGUGACGUCAGGCUUCCCAGAAAAGCUCUAAACACGUUAACUUCAAAUUGCCCGUACCCGAAACCGACACAGGUGGGAUGGUUGAGAAAACUAAAGGGCGCGAGAUAACUCUCUCUAAGGAACUCGGCAAAAUUGCCCCGUAACUUCGGAAGAAGGGGUGCCCCUUGCAAAGGGGGUCGCAGUGAAGAGAUCCAGGCGACUGUUUACCAAAAACACAGGUCUCCGCUAAGUUGCAAAACGAUGUAUGGGGGCUGACGCCUGCCCAGUGCCGGAAGGUUAAAGAAGUUGGUCAGGGGAGCAAUCCCUAAAGCUAGCGACUGAAGCCCCGGUGAACGGCGGCCGUAACUAUAACGGUCCUAAGGUAGCGAAAUUCCUUGUCGGGUAAGUUCCGACCCGCACGAAAGGCGUAACGAUUUGGGCGCUGUCUCGGAGAGAGGCUCGGCGAAAUAGGAUUGUCUGUGAAGAUACGGACUACCUGCACCUGGACAGAAAGACCCUAUGAAGCUUUACUGUAGCCUGGAAUUGGGUUCGGGCUUUAACUGCGCAGGAUAGGUGGGAGGCUAUGAUGCAAUCCUUGUGGGGAUUGUGGAGCCAACGGUGAGAUACCACUCUGUUAAGGCUAGAAUUCUAACUUGUUGCCGUUAUCCGGCACGAGAACAGUUUCAGGUGGGCAGUUUGACUGGGGCGGUCGCCUCCUAAAGUGUAACGGAGGCGCGCAAAGGUUCUCUCAGGCUGGUUGGAAAUCAGCCGUAGAGUGUAAAAGCACAAGAGAGCUUGACUGUGAGACGUACAUGUCGAGCAGGGACGAAAGUCGGCUUUAGUGAUCCGACGGCAGAGCGUGGAAUCGCCGUCGCUAAACGGAUAAAAGUUACUCUAGGGAUAACAGGCUGAUCUCCCCCAAGAGUUCACAUCGACGGGGAGGUUUGGCACCUCGAUGUCGGCUCAUCGCAACCUGGGGCGGUAGUACGUCCCAAGGGUUGGGCUGUUCGCCCAUUAAAGCGGUACGUGAGCUGGGUUCAGAACGUCGUGAGACAGUUCGGUCCAUAUCCGGUGCAGGCGCAAGAGUAUUGAGAGGAGUCUUCCUUAGUACGAGAGGACCGGGAAGAACGCACCGCUGGUGUACCAGUUAUCGUGCCAACGGUAAACGCUGGGUAGCCAAGUGCGGAGUGGAUAACCGCUGAAAGCAUCUAAGUGGGAAGCCCACCUCAAGAUGAGUACUCUCAUGGAGUUAAUCCAGUAAGGUCACCCAGAGAACAUGGGUUGAUAGGCGGUAGGUGGAAGUGCAGUAAUGUAUGCAGCCGAGCCGUACUAAUAGACCGAGGGCUUGACCGC
Molecule: ribosomal RNA, 2890 nt
Filed under: Plectolyngbya sp. WJT66-NPBG17
Lineage: Bacteria; Bacillati; Cyanobacteriota; Cyanophyceae; Leptolyngbyales; Leptolyngbyaceae
Description: 23S ribosomal RNA
Rfam family: Bacterial large subunit ribosomal RNA
Source: RNAcentral